AAGGCAGGAAACGCCAUUUAACAUCCGAAAUAUUGCGGUGCCCAUGGCCACAUUCUGACAAAAACAAAUCGAGGUACAUGAUACUAAGCUUCAACAAUCUAUUGAGCAUUUCUGCGCAUGAACCAUAUGCUUGAUAUAGAUGGGAUUCCAAACUGUUAAAGAUGCAGUCUACAGAGGUGCCCAUGGCCACAUUCUUUAGCAUCUCAUCAUAUCACCCAACCGUAGAACACUGCCGAUUGAUGUUUCUCUCAGCAUGCUACACCAUUUUAUAUCUUCAUGCCAAAACUUAAGUAGCAAAUAACCUUUCCCCUUUCACAAAUUUGUACGCUGCUUACUAAUCACUUCACAUUUAAGUUUCUUACUGAAACUAGAUAGUUAAGGAGGUUGCUUCUAAUGCCACCAAACAGAUUAUUUAGGAGC
This 420-nucleotide unclassified non-coding RNA is filed under the name Hevea brasiliensis (rubber tree). Lineage: Eukaryota; Viridiplantae; Streptophyta; Magnoliopsida; Malpighiales; Euphorbiaceae. The record is from RNAcentral.